RNAcentral lists this ribosomal RNA (405 nucleotides) under uncultured bacterium. Its description in RNAcentral is "partial 16S ribosomal RNA". It matches the Rfam family "Bacterial small subunit ribosomal RNA", at positions 28 to 526 of the family's 1533-position model. The record is from RNAcentral.
GAUGAACGCUGGCGGCGUGCCUAAUACAUGCAAGUCGAGCGAAGCGGGGACGGGUGAGUAAUACGUGGAUAACUUCCUAUAAGACUGGGAUAAUUUCGGGAAACCGGAGCUAAACCGGAUGCUUACAGAUGGAUCCGCGCUGCAUUAGCUAGUUGGUAAGGUAACGGCUUACCAAGGCAAAGAUGCAUAGCCGACCUGAGAGGGGGAUCGGCAGGACAGGAACUGAGACACGGUCCAGACUCCUACGGGAGGCAGCAGUAGGGAAUCUUCCGCAAUGGGCGAAAGCCUGACGGAGCAACACCGCGUGAGUGAUGAAGGUCUUCGGAUCGUAAAACUCUGUUAUUAGGGAAGCGGUACCUAGGCAGAAAGCCACGGCUAACUACGUGCCAGCAGCCGCGGUAAUUC